GACGAACGCUGGCGGCGUGCUUAACACAUGCAAGUCGAACGGAAAGGCCCUGCUUUUGUGCGGUGCUCGAGUGGCGAACGGGUGAGUAACACGUGAGUAACCUGCCCUUGACUUUGGGAUAACUUCAGGAAACUGGGGCUAAUACCGUAUAGGAGAUCCUGCUGCAUGGUGGGGGUUGGAAAGUUUCGGCGGUUGGGGUUGGACUCGCGGCUUAUCAGCUCGUUGGUCGGGUAGGGGCAUACCAAGGAUUUGACGGGUCGGCGGCCUGAGAGGGUGGACGGCCUCAUUACGACUGAGAUACGGACCAGACGCCUACGGGAGGCAGCAGUGGGGAAUAUUGCACAAUGGGCGGGAGCCUGAUGAAGCAACGCCGCGUUCGGGAUGACGGCCUGCGGGUUGUAAAACGCUGUCGCCUGUGACGAAGCGGGAGUGACGGUAAUGGGUAAAGAAGCACCGGCUAACUACGUG
Molecule: ribosomal RNA, 468 nt
Filed under: uncultured bacterium
Lineage: Bacteria
Description: partial 16S ribosomal RNA
Rfam family: Bacterial small subunit ribosomal RNA
Source: RNAcentral